RNAcentral lists this ribosomal RNA (32 nucleotides) under Ophiocordyceps xuefengensis. RNAcentral's name for it is "partial 18S ribosomal RNA". Lineage: Eukaryota; Fungi; Ascomycota; Sordariomycetes; Hypocreales; Ophiocordycipitaceae. The record is from RNAcentral.
UGGAAGUAAAAAGUCGUAACAAGGUCUCCGUU